GGUUAAUUACUUGUAAAGAAUAAGGAGCUGCUGGAGACCUGUCACACGUCCAGGAGAGCUUUGGAGUUUACCUCUUCGGUAACUGCUGUGAUACAACUGCCUGGAGUUUGAAAAUAAGCUGAAGGGCUAAUGCUAUUACAGUCUGGAGCAAAAUGAAAGAGCUUAUGUCGAGGCCUCCCAAGCAGUGCUGCUACAGACCAUGAACAAGAGAGGAGGAGGAGACCUCAGCCUGCACGAAUGAUCCUGAAACACAAAUGGUCUUGGGUCUACGCUUUUCACAUUGACCUUCUCUGCUGCCUCCCCUUCUGCUCAAGCAAAAUCUGUCUGAGAAGAUCUGAUGGGAAGGAACUAACUGCUUAGGACUCUCCCUUGUGAUGAAAGCACAUGUACAGGUGGAGCUAAAGAAUGAUCUGCUCCUCCAGUGUGGUGAUGGUGAUACAAAAUAAAGCCAAACAAAUCACUGCUUUCCU
RNAcentral lists this long non-coding RNA (470 nucleotides) under Bos grunniens (domestic yak). RNAcentral describes it as "lncRNA (ENSBGRG00000009909.1)". Lineage: Eukaryota; Metazoa; Chordata; Mammalia; Artiodactyla; Bovidae. The record is from RNAcentral.